RNAcentral lists this ribosomal RNA (253 nucleotides) under uncultured bacterium. RNAcentral's name for it is "partial 16S ribosomal RNA". It matches the Rfam family "Bacterial small subunit ribosomal RNA", at positions 524 to 776 of the family's 1533-position model. The record is from RNAcentral.
UACGGGGGGGGCAAGCGUUGUUCGGAAUUACUGGGCGUAAAGGGCUCGUAGGCGGCCAACUAAGUCGGACGUGAAAUCCCUCGGCUUAACCGGGGAACUGCGUCCGAUACUGGAUGGCUUGAGUUUGGGAGAGGGAUGCGGAAUUCCAGGUGUAGCGGUGAAAUGCGUAGAUAUCUGGAGGAACACCGGUGGCGAAGGCGGCAUCCUGGACCAACACUGACGCUGAGGAGCGAAGGCCAGGGGAGCAAACGGG